CCUACGGGAGGCAGCAGUGAGGAAUAUUGGUCAAUGGGCGAGAGCCUGAACCAGCCAAGUCGCGUGAAGGAUGAAGGAUCUAUGGUUUGUAAACUUCUUUUAUAUGGGAAUAAAGUGAGGAACGUGUUACUUUUUGUAUGUACCAUAUGAAUAAGCAUCGGCUAACUCCGUGCCAGCAGCCGCGGUAAUACGGAGGAUGCGAGCGUUAUCCGGAUUUAUUGGGUUUAAAGGGUGCGUAGGUGGUUAAUUAAGUCAGCGGUGAAAGGUUGUGGCUCAACCAUAAAAUUGCCGUUGAAACUGGUUGACUUGAGUAUAUUGGAGGUAGGCGGAAUGCGUGGUGUAGCGGUGAAAUGCAUAGAUAUCACGCAGAACUCCGAUUGCGAAGGCAGCUUACUAAACUAUAACUGACACUGAAGCACGAAAGCGUGGGGAUCAAACAGGAUUAGAUACCCCAGUAGUC
Molecule: ribosomal RNA, 460 nt
Filed under: uncultured bacterium
Lineage: Bacteria
Description: partial 16S ribosomal RNA
Rfam family: Bacterial small subunit ribosomal RNA
Source: RNAcentral